AAAGGACUAGAUUCGCUUAUGCAUGAAAUAUGCCUAAAUAUUUUGUAUUUUAUAAAACUUCAAAUUUUCAAGAAAUGAAACAAUUUUCUGGAAGAACAUCUUUAGCUUGUUGAUAUAUAUGAAAAACAGUAAAGAUAAUACAUCCGUUUCGUGCAAUAAAAUGCGCUUGAAGUAAGGGCUAAAACCCGUUUUCCGGUAUUUUGUAUCAGUUUUCGACGAUAAAUUGAAAAAUUUGAAUGGGGCACAGGUCUCGACCAAAAAACAAAAUACGUCAUUGUCAUUGUGGGUAUUUAUAAUUUACAAAAACAUAUCAAUAAUUUUGGUCGAGGCCUGUGCCCUUUAUGAAAAUUUAUAUUUUCCUUCCCCUGGUGUCUGUGCAAAAGCAAAUCAAAUGCAUAGAACAUCAAAGAUUUUUUCUGUAUUUUUAUAAAUUAUUUCUUGUUUUUGCGGUCAAACAUUGAGAUCGAAAGCAAUAAUCAUUAGUCAAAUAAAAUAUGUCUUCUUUUCUGUCUGUUUUUGUUAACUUAUUGAAUGAAAAGUGAAAAUCCAGCGGAUGAUGACAACGACGACGACAACAACAACAAAGCCAUUGUUUACACUUUACCUAGUAAAUCUAGAUAUCACCUAGAUCUGCUGGUUUAAAACAGUCAAUAACGUUUGUUUGUUUAUUUUGUGAGGAUUUAUUCUCGGAUCUAGGAAUGUAUUCCAGUCCAGAUAUGACUUGGUGAUUACCGUGACAGGGAGUAACCAAUUGUGGCGAUGUCGUAGUGGUCUAAGUGCCCGGCGCAUGAUCGUUUUAUAUGACUGAUCAGUUCCGUCUGGUGGUUCGACCCCUGAACGAGGAUGCCUGGAUCGGGUCCAAAGUUUUAUGCCUGUGCGGCGUGCAAGAAAAGAACUAAACCAAAAGAAAGAAGACACAUAAGCAAACCUAUAAUAAAAUAUCUUCAAACACGGUUAUUUGUUGAUGUUAAGACAAUGAAAUAAUUUGUAACAAAUGUAGACAUAAAUACUAUGCAUUAGAAUCAUCAUCUUUUACAAGAAAAAACAACAACCAGUCAGAUCCAGAUUAUGUUCCACCUGUUUCAACUUCUCAAUCAAAGGGAACAAAAACACCGACUAGUCCGCCAUCGGUAUCAUUAAAUAUAAAAACUACCAGUAAAACACAUUCAAGAUGUUUAGUCUGCAAAAGACCAGGGCCAAAAUUAGUUGUUCUGUCUUCAGAGGCCAGAUGUGCUGUCCAGUACACAUACAUGAAGGCCUGCUUUGUUCAGAUUCCUUAGAGAAUGUGCCGAUAAUAGAAACAGCAUUUCUAAACAGGACAUAUGUCCUAAAACUUAUAAAACAUUGAAGAGAAAUAUGCUGCUACAAACAAAACAAAUUGAAUUUUGAUGUCUUAAACGACGUAGAAUAUGAAAACUUAACAGGGCUUUCACGUUCUCAGUUUGAUGAUGUUUUUCGUCAUGUUGCCGACAAAAUUCUUAACUCUCCAUCACGUUCUUCCAGAACAUCUCUAGGCAUUUUUCUCCUGAAGAUGAAAUCGGGCUUGUCAAAUAAGCUAUUGUCUACUCUAUUUGGAAUUAGCAAGUCAAGUGUACGGAGAGCGAUUGUUGCCACAAAACAUGCGAUGAUGAGAGGAUUUGUGCCGUUAUAUCUUGGUUUUGAAAGCAUAACAAGGGAAGAUAUUAUAAACCAUCACACUAGACCGUUAGCCAAGUCUCUUUUUGAUGCAAAUGAUGGGAAAGUUAUUUUAGUUCUUGAUGGAACUUAUGUUUAUAUUCAGAAAAGUAAUAAUUUUAGCUUUCAAAGACGUUCAUAUUCAAUGCACAAAGGUCGUCCAUUAGUGAAGCCCAUGGUUAUUGUCACAACAACCGGAUACUUUGUUACAGUGAUGGGCCCUUAUUUUGCUGAUUCAAAGAACAAUGAUGCUUCUAUCCUGAAUCAUAUGUUGAAAACAAGUACUGAAGAGAUAAGGGACUUUAUUCAGAAGGAUGAUAUUUUCGUUGUCGAUAGAGGUUUCCGAUAUACAUUGAAUUAUUUCUUAUUUAAUAUAACAUUAUUGUAAAAGUUGGAAAUCAUAUUGUUUAAAUCACAAAACUUCUUUUAAAGUUCAAUGAAAAUUAUUGGCAUUCAGCUUAUAUUAAGUACGCUUUUUUAUUUUCCUCACCGUUACGCACUAUAAUAGUCCUCGCUCAGACGAUAUUUUUUUUUCAGACCGCUGACGUCAUCGUGAAUAGUAUACUUUUAAAGGCCCCUUUAUGUACCCGAAAUGCAAUACUUUCAUUUUUAUUUCUCAAAAUAUUUUUUAGUUUCAAACAAGUUACUCAUUGGUCUUCUUCAUUUGUUACUUUCAGGCAAUAAGUACAUAUAUAAUAACUUAGUAAUUUGUAUUGAAGUCAAAAUAUUACUUGUUUUCAUUACUUUUUUUCAUUGCUACAUUAAUGACAUAUUAGUAUAUUUACCGGUCUUUUGUUUAGGUAACAAGCAUCUUACAUGCUCUAAACCAUUAUUUAAAAGGUAUAAAAACAUCUUUGAUCUUUUAAAAAAAGGUAAAUAUUAUUCAUUUCUGAGUCAUACUGUGCCUUUAAAAGGCCGCUGACAAAACAUAUUCAUGUUAGGCAUGAUAUUGAUAGAAUAGUACCAUAGAUACCAUAGACAGGUGAAAUACUUCAUAUCUUGACAAUCGCUUUACAUAAUAUUGACUUGUUAGUGUUUCAUUUCCACAUUAGUCCUCGUUUUUGAAACAUAAGGCUAGUCAUUAGUUAUUAUGAAAUUAAUCUAGGUUGUUGAUGUAUUUGAGAAGAGACAAGUUUAAAUGUUUAAAUGUUGUGAUGAAUGAGAUUGUAAUAAAAUAUUUGUUGCGUCCUAAACAUGCUGUAAUUUUUUAUUUGAUAUUUUUCGAGACAUUUGAAUAUUAAUAGUUAUAAGUGGCAAAAUGCAAUGAUUUUGUUACUGCGUUAUUUAGAAUGUCUUGAAUGUUAUAAAAUAUAUUUAACGUUUUACUCUAACUUUUCGGCCUUUUCCGUCAUUCUUCGGAUAAGACUAUGUGUAUUUAUGAAACAUUGCCGACAUGUUCCGAUUGAUGUAAUAUCUGUUUCUGCAUCUUAUUAUCUUAUUAUGUUUAAGUUGUACUAACUAUAUAUUUAAAAACAACAUCAAAGUUUAUUGCCGUAAACUAUAUGCAGAAAAUUUAUACAUGUAUGUGCAUGCAAAUUCUAUUGCAUAUUUUUGAAAAUCUUUGUGGUCGUUAAAUGUAAAUAGAUUUUCUUCAGAAUAAAAGAUGGACACUAUCCAAUAGUUUAUGCAGCAGUAAUUUGAAUGUCACACCUGUUAUAAAGUAUGCUAGAUUGUUUAUUUUGUGUGAUGGGCAUUUUGAGGGAUCACCUUAUUAUUUUUAUUUCGUUUUGUUUAUAAUUCUGUAUUGUUAGAUGAUGAAUUCAUGUCAGUUUACGUAGCUGUUACACUAAAGUAAAUGAUUCAGUGUGUAACAUAACUUUAUCACAUAUCACAUGCCGCUUUUGCUGUUACAGUAAAAUAGUAUUGCACGGCAGGGCAUAUAUUUUGACGUGUCGUCCUUUGCGUUAUACGAUCAUAGCGUAAAGACGCAUGAAAUGUUAGCGUUACACUAUAAGUGU
Long non-coding RNA from Ruditapes philippinarum (Manila clam), 3632 nucleotides. RefSeq lists it as uncharacterized. NCBI's taxonomy places the organism in Eukaryota, Metazoa, Mollusca, Bivalvia, Venerida, Veneridae. The transcript is spliced from 3 exons. The record is from RefSeq and is a predicted model, not a curated record.